UACUGAACAUCAGAACUGAUGUGCUUGUUAUGCAUUGGACACGCAGAUCUUUGUGCAUACACCAAAUCAAGGUCACACAAACACACUGUACACACACGUGAGCUCACAGUUUUAAUAAUAGUAACACCCUUCCUGAACACCAGGUAGCAGUCUAGACAUUGUCCUGCCAUGUGCCUAUGAGUGUGUACUGAUGGAAACCGUUGGGAGGACCCUGAAUAACAGACUGCCCAGAUCUUUACAACAAAGGAGAAUAUCAGAUUCCUCCCACCCCUUGAGGUCAUGUGAUUGUUGCCAUGAUUCCUGUUGUGACCUGAGAGCAUAGCGUUGCAACACUACUUUUGACUGGAGACAACGAAGUGAUCAUUGUCAGCCGAAAAUAUGUUGAUAAUGUCGUACUACGCAUUUAAAGACCAACUGCAGUCUAACCCCAAACUUGUGUAACAUCCUUUUAAAAUAAAUUUAAUUUUGCUGAAUGAUUGAAGGGCUAGAAAACAAAAGUUUUAAUGAAAUAAUCACCGAUUAACAACAUGGAAAUUAAUGACAGAUUGACAAAGUCAAGUUAAUUUUACAACCUUGACUUUAGUUCCGUGCAAGAAGCAGCAUCUAGCGACCGUUACGUGUCAGUAAUAACAUCCCUGUCUGUUGACUCAUGGGCCAAUUUUACCCCUUAUGGCGCAUUAGUAGGGAAAAAUGGCUUGACGCUUCUAGUGUUAGAAAACAAGACACCAUUCUCUUAAACUUCCCUAAUAGAUGAAAGAGAUGGAGGGGGGGG
This is a long non-coding RNA of Hypomesus transpacificus, 772 nucleotides long. RefSeq lists it as uncharacterized. NCBI's taxonomy places the organism in Eukaryota, Metazoa, Chordata, Actinopteri, Osmeriformes, Osmeridae. The record is from RefSeq and is a predicted model, not a curated record. The transcript is spliced from 3 exons.